UCCCCCCACCCUCUCCCCUCCGUCCUUCCCAUUCUUUUUCCUCCACCCCUAGCCACCACCAUUCCCCUUCCCUUUUUGUCCCCACUUCCAUUGCUGUUGAUUUUUUCUUUUUUUCUUCGAUUUUCAGUCGCUUACCCUCCCCUCCCAUUUCGUUUCACUUCCUUUAAGUCCCCCACUGAUUAAAAUUUUCCCUCAUUUUCCUAUUAUUUUUCCUUUCUCCCUGCAUUUUUUACACAAACGGCCACCACUCCAAUACCGAACGCCAACGCACACUGUCGCACACUACUAUCGCCACCGCACACACUGGGAAUAUUUGAGACUGAUUCAUACUCGAUCAGACACAACUUCAUAAUUAUCUCAAAGGCAUCAAUCACAAUUCCCUACUUGGUUCAAAGAUCAUGUUUACUCACUGCAUCAAAGAAGAGAAGCAUCUGAUGAUCUUUACUCAAUAUCACUUGGUCCUUGUAAUCAAGUCCGCUCCUACAAUGGUUGCAUUGUCAAUGGAAUUUGUUUUCACUAUAUUGAUCGUGACAAUAAAAGAUCAACUCAAAAUAGUGGCAUCAUGGUGCCUGGAGAAACAGAAGGAAUUGAAUGUAAUUACUAUGGUAUACUAGUUGAUGUAUUGGACUUAGAAUAUAGCAAUAGAAGACGUGUGAUCCUUUUCAAAUGUAAGUGGUUUGACACAGAACCUAAGAAAAAUAAAGUACGACAAGAUUUAGGGUCCAUGUCAAUAAAUACAUCUCAUUAUUGGUAUACAGAUGAGCCCUUCAUCUUUGCAACUCAAGCCAAACAAGUCUUUUACAUCAACGACAAUAAACUUGGCACACCACUAUUUAUGACCCUAAAAUUUGAUAUAUGGCGCUCCAACAAUCUAAGUUAUUUACGUAUCUUCCAUCUUUGCGUUAUUUAUGUUUAUGACCCUAAAAUUUAGAGAAAUGUACUAUAUAA
This is a long non-coding RNA of Benincasa hispida (wax gourd), 948 nucleotides long. RefSeq lists it as uncharacterized. NCBI's taxonomy places the organism in Eukaryota, Viridiplantae, Streptophyta, Magnoliopsida, Cucurbitales, Cucurbitaceae. The record is from RefSeq and is a predicted model, not a curated record.